RNAcentral lists this ribosomal RNA (439 nucleotides) under uncultured bacterium. RNAcentral describes it as "partial 16S ribosomal RNA". It matches the Rfam family "Bacterial small subunit ribosomal RNA", at positions 339 to 795 of the family's 1533-position model. The record is from RNAcentral.
CUACGGGGUGCUGCAGUGAGGAAUAUUGCACAAUGGGGGAAACCCUGAUGCAGCAACGCCGCGUGGAGGAUGACGCAUUUCGGUGUGUAAACUCCUUUUAUCAGAGAAGAAAAUGACGGUAUCUGAUGAAUAAGCUCCGGCUAACUCCGUGCCAGCAGCCGCGGUAAUAUGGAGGGAGCAAGCGUUAUUCGGAAUCACUGGGCGUAAAGGACGCGUAGGCGGGUUUUUAAGUCAGGUGUGAAAUCCUAUGGCUCAACCAUAGAACUGCACUUGAAACUGGGGACCUAGAGUAUGGAAGGGGCAGGUGGAAUUAGUGGUGUAGGGGUAAGAUCCGUAGAUAUCACUAGGAAUACCGAAAGCGAAGGCGACCUGCUGGGACAUUACUGACGCUGAGGCGUGAAAGCGUGGGGAGCAAACAGGAUUAGAUACCCCAGUAGUC